Molecule: ribosomal RNA, 1735 nt
Filed under: Anguilla japonica (Japanese eel)
Lineage: Eukaryota; Metazoa; Chordata; Actinopteri; Anguilliformes; Anguillidae
Description: 16S ribosomal RNA
Rfam family: Bacterial large subunit ribosomal RNA (bases 93-1619)
Source: RNAcentral
GCAAAACAGCUAGCCUAACCACAAUAAAACAAAUGACCAAGCAUAUAUAACAAAAUAAACCCAAAUAUAAAAUAAAACAUUCUUCCCCCUAAGUAUAGGUGAUAGAAAAGGACAAAACGCGCAAUAGAAAAAGUACCGCAAGGGAAAGCUGAAAGAGAAAUGAAACAAUCCAUAUAAGCAAAAAAAAGCAGAGACUAAAACUCGUACCUUUUGCAUCAUGGUUUAGCAAGUAAAAAUCAAGCAAAGAGAACUUUAGUUUGAAACCCCGAAACUAGACGAGCUACUCCGGGGCAGCCUAAUUAGGGCCAACCCGUCUCUGUGGCAAAAGAGUGGGAAGACCCCCGAGUAGAGGUGAUAAGCCUACCGAGCCUAGUUAUAGCUGGUUGCUUAAGAAAUGAAUGUUAGUUCAGCCUUAUGUAAUUCUAUAACCAAAACUUAUUAACAAAAAGAACAAAAGCAAUACAUAAGAGUUAGUCAAAGGGGGUACAGCCCCUUUGAAACAGAACACAACCUUAUUCAGGAGGACAAGGAUCAUACCAUAAAAGGACAAAAUUACCUCAGUGGGCCCAAAAGCAGCCACCUGUAAAGAAAGCGUUAAAGCUCCGGUAAAUACAGACCAAUAAUAAAGACAAUACACUCCCCACCCCCUAAAAAUAUUAAGCUAUCCUAUGCACACAUAGGAGAAACAAUGCUAAAAUCAGUAAUAAGAGGGCCCAAGCCCUCUCCUAGCACAUGUGUAAGUCAGAACGGACCGACCACUGACAAUCAACGGACCCAAACAGAGAGAAAAAGAACAAACUACAAAAAACAAGAAAAAUCUAUUUAAUACCACAAACCGUUAACCCAACACAGGAGUGCCUAAAGGAAAGACUAAAAGGAGAAGAAGGAACUCGGCAAACACAAACCCCGCCUGUUUACCAAAAACAUCGCCUCUUGCUAACAAAGGAAGUACUAGAGGUCCCGCCUGCCCUGUGACCACAAAGUUUAACGGCCGCGGUAUCCUGACCGUGCGAAGGUAGCGUAAUCAUUUGUCUUUUAAAUAGAGACCUGUAUGAAUGGCAUAACGAGGGUUUAACUGUCUCCUUCCCCUAGUCAAUGAAAUUGAUCUGCCCGUGCAGAAGCGGACAUAAACACAUAAGACGAGAAGACCCUAUGGAGCUUUAGACAAAAGAUCAAACAUGUAAAGAAACCAAGUUAACCAAAAGGAACACAAAGGCCACGAAACCCGACGUAAACUGAUCCAAAUGUCUUCGGUUGGGGCGACCAUGGGGGAGAAAAAAGCCCCCACGAGGAACAGGGACUAAUCCCUAAGCCAAGAGAGACAUCUCUAAGCAACAGAAAAUCUGACCAAAAGUGACCCAGAAUACUAAUUCUGAUCAACGAACCAAGUUACCCUAGGGAUAACAGCGCAAUCCUUUCCCAGAGUCCAUAUCGACGAAAGGGUUUACGACCUCGAUGUUGGAUCAGGACAUCCUAAUGGUGCAGAUGUUGGAUCAGGACAUCCCAAUGGUGCAGCCGCUAUUAAGGGUUCGUUUGUUCAACGAUUAAUAGUCCUACGUGAUCUGAGUUCAGACCGGAGUAAUCCAGGUCGGUUUCUAUCUAUGAACUUACUUCUUCCCAGUACGAAAGGACCGGAAUGAAGAGGGCCAAUACUAAAAGCAAGCCCUACCUCUACCUGCUGAAAGCAAAUAAAACAGACAAAGAGGUAUAUCAAACCUACCAAAGAUAAUGGUAU